Molecule: ribosomal RNA, 496 nt
Filed under: uncultured bacterium
Lineage: Bacteria
Description: partial 16S ribosomal RNA
Rfam family: Bacterial small subunit ribosomal RNA
Source: RNAcentral
GAUGAACGCUGGCGGCGUGCCUAAUACAUGCAAGUCGAGCGAACGGACGAGAAGCUUGCUUCUCUGAUGUUAGCGGCGGACGGGUGAGUAACACGUGGAUAACCUACCUAUAAGACUGGGAUAACUUCGGGAAACCGGAGCUAAUACCGGAUAAUAUUUUGAACCGCAUGGUUCAAAAGUGAAAGACGGUCUUGCUGUCACUUAUAGAUGGAUCCGCGCUGCAUUAGCUAGUUGGUAAGGUAACGGCUUACCAAGGCAACGAUGCAUAGCCGACCUGAGAGGGUGAUCGGCCACCCGGGAACUGAGACACGGUCCAGACUCCUACGGGAGGCAGCAGUAGGGAAUCUUCCGCAAUGGGCGAAAGCCUGACGGAGCAACGCCGCGUGAGUGAUGAAGGUCUUCGGACCGUAAAACUCUGUUAUUAGGGAAGAACAUAUGUGUAAGUAACUGUGCACAUCUUGACGGUACCUAAUCAGAAAGCCACGGCUAACUACGU